Sinocyclocheilus rhinocerous is the source of this 174-nucleotide long non-coding RNA. RefSeq lists it as uncharacterized. The record is from RefSeq and is a predicted model, not a curated record. The transcript has 3 exons. NCBI's taxonomy places the organism in Eukaryota, Metazoa, Chordata, Actinopteri, Cypriniformes, Cyprinidae.
UUGAGCAGGUGUUAUUGGUUGAGGUGUAGAUGCUGGUGUUGUUGAUUCAAAUGUUGAUUCAGAGUUUGGUGAGUGAGAUGUAGAUGUUGUUUGAGAUGUAGAUGUUUCUGUAGUCGAUAUAGAUGCAGGUUCAGUGGUUGUUGUUGAUUCAGAUGUAGAUGUUUUUGUAGUUGA